This 1193-nucleotide long non-coding RNA is filed under the name Marmota monax (woodchuck). The record is from RNAcentral. Lineage: Eukaryota; Metazoa; Chordata; Mammalia; Rodentia; Sciuridae.
AUCACUGUAGCAUGUUGAUGUUGCACAGGGCACUCAGGCUGCUCCCUGCAGGAUGGUGCUGAGUCCCAGGGUUUGCAGUAAGGACUGAGGUGCAUCAUGAAGUUAUGUGAAAUUUGAGGCUGUUCCAGGGUCACGUUUGUUCUGCUUCAUUUUCCCUGUUUCCAUGUAGAGCAGCUCCACUACUAUUUGGCUGACCUUCUUCUCCCUGAGGCUGCUGUCAUUUCUCUUCUACAUGGUGUUCCAGGUACCAUUACUGCACCCUUGAUUACACCCGACUUGAAGUGAGCUUUGUACUCAUGAAGUGCUAGUCAGACUGCUGUUCUCGUUUUCAAAGUCCUGUGGUAUUCUGGGUCCCUUGUAAUGUUGAAUGACAUUUUCAAUUUCUAAAAAGGAAUCAUCACCCGGGAUUCUGAUGGGUUUAAAUAUAAUUGGUAGUUUCUUUGGGAGUAUCACCACCUUAAUAACAUUAAACCUUUGGUCCAUGAGCAUAGAAUGGUAUUUAUUUGGAUGUUGAGCUACUUCCACCAAGCAUUACAGUUUAGAAAAUAAGUUUUAUAAUUUUCUAUUUGCUAUUUAUUAUGUAUGUAUUAUAUAUUGUUAUUAUAUUGUUUAUUCUUCUAUAUUUAUUUUUUGAGUGUCAUUGUAAAUGAACUUUUUAAGUUCCAUUUCAGAAUUUUAUGAGUAAAAAGUUGAUUUUUUUUUAUUAUUAAAUUUAUGAGUUUUGUUUAUUAAUUUUUUUCACUCCUGACCUUGGGAACACGUCUUCCUCUUGGGUGCUUCCAGGUUUUGAAAAUCAUGAAUGCUGGUGCGCUGAACUUUGUAGGGCAGGAUGUCAUGUGGACCUACAUUGUGAACUCAUUUGGGUUUCCCCAACUUUGCGAAAUGGCUUAGGGUCCAGGAGCCACCGCUCUGACACGUGAGAUAGGGUUGAUCACUUCAGCCUGUGACAGUUGAGUGGCUGUGGGCCUGUGAGGAGGUUUGUGUGAGGCCUCUUUGUGUUAGAGCCCUGGGACUUCUCGGGUAUCGAUCUCCCCCAUGUCGAAGGCUUUCUGGUAGGUUCAGCAGUGAAGAAACCCUGUCAGAUGUCCUCUUCCACUUGUAGUAGAGACUGUAGGGAGCAGGAAGCCAGAAAUACAAGGCAAAUGGGCACUGUGUCAGGCAGUCACUGUUGAUGGGGUGAGAGGUGGUGAAGG